UGGGGAAUAUUGGGCAAUGGACGCAAGUCUGACCCAGCAACGCCGCGUGAAGGAAGAAGGCUUUCGGGUUGUAAACUUCUUUUAAGGGGGAACAGUAGAAGAGGGUACCCCUUGAAUAAGCCACGGCUAACUACGUGCCAGCAGCCGCGGUAAUACGUAGGUGGCAAGCGUUGUCCGGAUUUACUGGGUGUAAAGGGAGUGUAGGCGGGACUGUAAGUCAGAUGUGAAAUAUGCCGGCUCAACUGGCAGACUGCAUUUGAAACUGUGAUUCUUGAGUGAAGUAGAGGUAAGCGGAAUUCCUGGUGUAGCGGUGAAAUGCGUAGAUAUCAGGAGGAACAUCAGUGGCGAAGGCGGCUUACUGGGGCUUUAACUGACGCU
This 378-nucleotide ribosomal RNA is filed under the name uncultured Oscillibacter sp. RNAcentral describes it as "bacterial SSU rRNA". It matches the Rfam family "Bacterial small subunit ribosomal RNA", at positions 355 to 747 of the family's 1533-position model. The record is from RNAcentral. Lineage: Bacteria; Bacillati; Bacillota; Clostridia; Eubacteriales; Oscillospiraceae.